ACCCGAGAGACCCCCCCCCCCCCCAAUCUCUCUCUUCUCUCUCUCUCUCUCUAGUCGGCCACAAACCCUGCCCUGGUUCUUCCCCAAAUCGCAAGACCCAGAAGCCAAAUUGAGUAAAGAUCGAAUCUUUGAAGAGGGUUGAGAAGGUUUGAGAGGGAAGAUGGAUUCGGAUCAGGGCAAGCUUUUCAUCGGCGGGAUUUCGUGGGAGACGUCGGAGGAUAAGCUGAAGGAGUACUUCAGCAAUUACGGCGACGUUUUGCAGACGGUGGUUAUGAGAGACAAGAUCACUCAAAGACCCAGAGGUUUUGGGUUCGUCGUCUUUGUGGAUCCUGCUGUUCUUGAUAGGGUUCUUCAGGAAAAGCACACCAUCGAUGGCAGGACGGUUGAGGCUAAGAGGGCCCUCUCAAGAGAGGAGCAGCAAACUUCUGUUAGAUCAGGAAAUCCUAAUCCUGGUAGAAAUGCAGGAAGCGGUGGAAAUGUUAGGACCAAGAAGAUAUUUGUUGGUGGGCUGCCUCCCACUCUAACUGAAGAAGAAUUCCGUGAAUAUUUUGAAGCUUAUGGCCAUGUAACAGAUGUAGUUGUAAUGUAUGACCAAAAUACUGGACGACCUCGUGGAUUUGGAUUUAUUUCAUUUGACACUGAAGAUGCAGUUGAUAGGGUUUUGCACAAGACAUUUCAUGAUUUAAGUGGUAAGCAAGUGGAAGUAAAGAGGGCUCUUCCAAAAGAUGCCAAUCCUGGUGGGGGUGGCCGUUCCUUGGGGGGUGGUCAGGGCGGUGGUGGUGCAUCUGGUGGUGGUUACCAAGGCUAUGGGGCAUCUGGUGGCAACCCAAAUGCAUAUGAUGGUCGAAUGGACUCCAACAGGUACAUGCAAUCUCAGAGCACUGGAGGUGGUUUUCCUCCUUAUGGUUCUUCUGGGUAUAGUGCACCCAGUUAUGGGUAUGCUCCUUCUAGUAAUGGUAUUGGUUAUGGUGGCUACGGAGGUUAUGGUGGUACCAAUACUGGAUAUGGUGGUCCAGCUGCUGCUGCCUAUGGAAACCCCAGUGCCCCAAAUGCUGGUUAUGGUGGUGGUCCACCAGGUGCUCCUAGAAGUUCAUGGAGCUCCCAAGCCCCCUCAGGAUAUGGUGGUAUGGGCUACGGGAAUACUGCUCCUUGGGGUGUUCAAAGUGGCAGUGCAGCUACAGGAAGUGGUGGUCCUGGAUCUGCGCCUGCUGGUCAAUCUCCUAGUGCAGCGGCUGGGUAUGGAGCUCAAGGUUAUGGUUAUGGUGGGUACAGUGGAGGUGAUGCAUCCUAUGGAAAUCCAUCUGCGUAUGGUGCAGUUGGAGGGCGUUCUGGGAGUGUCCCAAAUAACAACGUUGGUGGUCCAGGUGGGGAGCAAGGUAGUGGUGGUGGAUACAUCGGAAGUGGCUAUGGCGACUCGAAUGGAAAUGCAGGUUAUGGAAAUUCUGGUUGGAGAGCUGAUCCAUCACAAGCUUCUGGAAAUUAUGGUGGUCAGGCUAAUGGCGCUCACAGUGGGCAAGUUGGCUAUGGAGGGUAUAGCAGUGCUCAGGCACGACAAGCCCAGCAGCAGUAAUUUUGAUGGUUGGCUGUUCAAUUGAAAUGUCUUGUAUCUCUUGAAACAUGAGCAGUAAUGGUCUCUUAUGACCAGCGGCAGCAGCAGGAACAGCUCAAGUUGGACGAAUGCUUUGGGACUGGAGGAGAGGUGCACAAGUUGUAAAGUGAAGUGUCCAUCAUGGCUGAACACCAGCUUCAUAGUCGGCCAUGUUGAUUGGGGGCGUGUUCAGCAUGGAUUGGGAUUUUGGGAAGUUUGUUCAGUUGAAAAUAUGUCAUUCUCCAGCCAAGCCCUGCCAACACUAUUUUGCAGAAUCUUCCAACCUCACGUCAUUCAUAUCCUAAACUUCACCCUGGUUUGUUGUUGCAUGACAGAAUGUGAGAUGAGCAGCCUACGGUAUGUUGACUUGAGCAGUUAAGCCAGUUUCACUUUAAAAUUGAUUGUGUAAGGCUGUGUUUUGAUUCGUAGCAGCAGAACAUGGCUUACUGUUCUGGAAUUUAGAGAAGCAGAAAAGGAUUCUGUUAGAGUAGAUAUAUAUAGAACUUUAGAAUGAAGUGGAAGAACUAACAUUACAUUUUUCUAUAUUUAGUGUCCAAAAUCUUAGAAUGUAGGGUACUGUUUCUUAUGCAGAUCUUUCAAUAAGAAAUAUUACUUAUUUCUUCCUAGCC
This is an RNA transcript of Rosa rugosa (rugosa rose), 2217 nucleotides long. It is a transcript of the gene named heterogeneous nuclear ribonucleoprotein 1-like, with no coding region annotated. NCBI's taxonomy places the organism in Eukaryota, Viridiplantae, Streptophyta, Magnoliopsida, Rosales, Rosaceae. The transcript has 3 exons. The record is from RefSeq and is a predicted model, not a curated record.